Molecule: ribosomal RNA, 423 nt
Filed under: uncultured bacterium
Lineage: Bacteria
Description: bacterial SSU rRNA
Rfam family: Bacterial small subunit ribosomal RNA
Source: RNAcentral
GAAUUUUGGACAAUGGGGGCAACCCUGAUCCAGCCAUGCCGCGUGCGGGAAGAAGGCCUUCGGGUUGUAAACCGCUUUUGUCGGGGAAGAAACGCUUCAGGCUAAUACCUUGGAGUAAUGACGGUACCCGAAGAAUAAGCACCGGCUAACUACGUGCCAGCAGCCGCGGUAAUACGUAGGGUCCAAGCGUUGUCCGGAUUUAUUGGGCGUAAAGAGCUCGUAGGCGGUUCGGUAAGUCGGAUGUGAAAACUCAGGGCUCAACCCUGAGACGCCAUCCGAUACUGCUGUGACUCGAGUCUGGUAGGGGAGAACGGAAUUCCAGGUGUAGCGGUGAAAUGCGCAGAUAUCUGGAGGAACACCGAUGGCGAAGGCAGUUCUCUGGGCCAGUACUGACGCUGAGGAGCGAAAGCGUGGGGAGCAAAC